GCCGAUUUGGGUGCGAGGUCACCACUUUGGGGUCAGAAAUGGCCGUUUUGGGUGCGAGGUCACCAGUUUGGGGUCAGAAAUGGUCGGUUUGGGUGCGAGGUCACCAGUUUGGGGUCGCAGGUUCGGGGCUACGUGGCCUCGGGAGGAGCCCCCGGCGGCUCCUCCACCUCAUGCAGCGAUGGCUCCC
This is a long non-coding RNA of Cuculus canorus (common cuckoo), 187 nucleotides long. RefSeq lists it as uncharacterized. The record is from RefSeq and is a predicted model, not a curated record. NCBI's taxonomy places the organism in Eukaryota, Metazoa, Chordata, Aves, Cuculiformes, Cuculidae. The transcript has 3 exons.